RNAcentral lists this ribosomal RNA (497 nucleotides) under uncultured bacterium. RNAcentral's name for it is "partial 16S ribosomal RNA". It matches the Rfam family "Bacterial small subunit ribosomal RNA", at positions 28 to 507 of the family's 1533-position model. The record is from RNAcentral.
GAUGAACGCUGGCGGCGUGCCUAAUACAUGCAAGUCGAGCGAACGGACGAGAAGCUUGCUUCUCUGACGUUAGCGGCGGACGGGUGAGUAACACGUGGAUAACCUACCUAUAAGACUGGGAUAACUUCGGGAAACCGGCGCUAAUACCGGAUAAUAUUUUGAACCGCAUGGUUCAAAAGUGAAAGACGGUCUUGCUGUCACUUAUAGAUGGAUCCGCGCUGCAUUAGCUAGUUGGUAAGGUAACGGCUUACCAAGGCAACGAUGCAUAGCCGACCUGAGAGGGGGAUAGGCCACACUGGAACGGAGACACGGUCCAGACUCCUACGGGAGGCAGCAGUAGGGAAUCUUCCGCAAUGGGCGAAAGCCUGACGGAGCAACGCCGCGUGAGUGAUGAAGGUCUUCGGAUCGUAAAACUCUGUUAUUAGGGAAGAACAUAUGUGUAAGUAACUGUGCACAUCUUGACGGUACCUAAUCAGAAAGCCACGGCUAACUACGUG